RNAcentral lists this ribosomal RNA (416 nucleotides) under bacterium enrichment culture clone ALO1_GLFRUDD03FMTM6. Its description in RNAcentral is "bacterial SSU rRNA". It matches the Rfam family "Bacterial small subunit ribosomal RNA", at positions 9 to 425 of the family's 1533-position model. The record is from RNAcentral.
GAGUUUGAUCGUGGCUCAGAUUGAACGCUGGCGGCAUGCCUUACACAUGCAAGUCGAACGGCAGCACGGGAGCUUGCUCCUGGUGGCGAGUGGCGAACGGGUGAGUAAUGCAUCGGAACGUAUCCUGGAGUGGGGGGAUAACGUAGCGAAAGUUACGCUAAUACCGCAUAUUCUGUGAGCAGGAAAGCGGGGGACCUUCGGGCCUCGCGCUCUUGGAGCGGCCGAUGUCGGAUUAGCUAGUUGGUGAGGUAAAGGCUCACCAAGGCGACGAUCCGUAGCAGGUCUGAGAGGAUGAUCUGCCACACUGGAACUGAGACACGGUCCAGACUCCUACGGGAGGCAGCAGUGGGGAAUUUUGGACAAUGGGGGCGAACCCUGAUCCAGCCAUGCCGCGUGAGUGAAGAAGGCCUCGGUUG